Molecule: ribosomal RNA, 301 nt
Filed under: uncultured bacterium
Lineage: Bacteria
Description: partial 16S ribosomal RNA
Rfam family: Bacterial small subunit ribosomal RNA
Source: RNAcentral
CAGUCGCCGCGGGAAAACGUAGGGUCCGAGCGUUGUCCGGAAUUACUGGGCGUAAAGAGCUCGUAGGUGGUUUGUCGCGUUGUUCGUGAAAACUCACAGCUUAACUGUGGGCGUGCGGGCGAUACGGGCAGACUAGAGUACUGCAGGGGAGACUGGAAUUCCUGGUGUAGCGGUGGAAUGCGCAGAUAUCAGGAGGAACACCGGUGGCGAAGGCGGGUCUCUGGGCAGUAACUGACGCUGAGGAGCGAAAGCGUGGGGAGCGAACAGGAUUAGAUACCCCUGUAGUCCCUGUCUCUUAUAC